Molecule: ribosomal RNA, 520 nt
Filed under: Bifidobacterium adolescentis
Lineage: Bacteria; Bacillati; Actinomycetota; Actinomycetes; Bifidobacteriales; Bifidobacteriaceae
Description: partial 16S ribosomal RNA
Rfam family: Bacterial small subunit ribosomal RNA
Source: RNAcentral
AAUGCCGGAUGCUCCAGUUGACCGCAUGGUCCUCUGGGAAAGCUUUUGCGGUAUGGGAUGGGGUCGCGUCCUAUCAGCUUGAUGGCGGGGUAACGGCCCACCAUGGCUUCGACGGGUAGCCGGCCUGAGAGGGCGACCGGCCACAUUGGGACUGAGAUACGGCCCAGACUCCUACGGGAGGCAGCAGUGGGGAAUAUUGCACAAUGGGCGCAAGCCUGAUGCAGCGACGCCGCGUGCGGGAUGACGGCCUUCGGGUUGUAAACCGCUUUUGACUGGGAGCAAGCCCUUCGGGGUGAGUGUACCUUUCGAAUAAGCACCGGCUAACUACGUGCCAGCAGCCGCGGUAAUACGUAGGGUGCAAGCGUUAUCCGGAAUUAUUGGGCGUAAAGGGCUCGUAGGCGGUUCGUCGCGUCCGGUGUGAAAGUCCAUCGCUUAACGGUGGAUCCGCGCCGGGUACGGGCGGGCUUGAGUGCGGUAGGGGAGACUGGAAUUCCCGGUGUAACGGUGGAAUGUGUAGAUA